This is a small nucleolar RNA of Perognathus longimembris pacificus (Pacific pocket mouse), 132 nucleotides long. RefSeq annotates it as small nucleolar RNA SNORA64/SNORA10 family. The transcript has a single exon. The record is from RefSeq and is a predicted model, not a curated record. NCBI's taxonomy places the organism in Eukaryota, Metazoa, Chordata, Mammalia, Rodentia, Heteromyidae.
ACUCUCUCAUUCUGCAUGGUCACAUUAGGUCUCACCCGUGUGGCUUUCGUACAGGGAGAGAGAGGAAAGAGUUCCUCAGGACCCUGGAUUGGCCCUGCUGUGGCCUCUCUUUCCUAGAGGAGCACAACAGGU